CCUACGUGAGGCUGCAGUGAGGAAUAUUGGUCAAUGGGCGCGAGCCUGAACCAGCCAAGUAGCGUGAAGGAUGACUGCCCUACGGGUUGUAAACUUCUUUUAUAAAGGAAUAAAGUGAGGCACGUGUGCCUCUUUGUAUGUACUUUAUGAAUAAGGAUCGGCUAACUCCGUGCCAGCAGCCGCGGUAAUACGGAGGAUCCGAGCGUUAUCCGGAUUUAUUGGGUUUAAAGGGAGCGUAGAGGGGUUGUUAAGUCAGUUGUGAAAGUUUGCGGCUGAACCGUAAAAUUGCAAGUGAUACUGGCAGUCUUGAGUACAGUUGAGGUAGGCGGAAUUCGUGGUGUAGCGGUGAAAUGCUUCGAUAUCACGAAGAACUCCGAUUGCGGAGGCAGCUUACUAAACUGCCACUGACAUUGAUGCUCGAAAGUGUGGGUAUCAAACAGGAUUAGAUACCCUUGUAGGC
This 460-nucleotide ribosomal RNA is filed under the name uncultured bacterium. RNAcentral's name for it is "partial 16S ribosomal RNA". It matches the Rfam family "Bacterial small subunit ribosomal RNA", at positions 338 to 795 of the family's 1533-position model. The record is from RNAcentral.